Molecule: ribosomal RNA, 1367 nt
Filed under: Chattonella subsalsa
Lineage: Eukaryota; Raphidophyceae; Chattonellales; Chattonellaceae
Description: partial Bacterial large subunit ribosomal RNA
Rfam family: Bacterial large subunit ribosomal RNA
Source: RNAcentral
CAAGCUACUAAGGGCAAUCGGUGGAUGCCUAGGCACCAAGAGCCGAUGAAGGACGUUGUAACCUGCGAUAAGCCCCGGGGAGCUGGUAAACGAGCUUUGAUCCGGGGAUCUCCGAAUAGGGAAACCUCGAAAGAAACCGGAGUAAUGUCCGGCGACCUCUACCUGAAUAUAUAGGGUAGUUGGAGGGAACGUGGGGAAGUGAAACAUCUCAGUACCCACAGGAAAAGAAAACAACCGUGAUUCCGUAAGUAGUGGCGAGCGAACGCGGAUGAGGCCAAACCGUACAUGUGUGAUAGCUGACAGGCGUUGCAUGUGCGGUGUUGUGGGGCCAUUGGGACCGGGCUGUCGACUGGUCACACAGUAAGAAAUGAUCUCAGAAGUCGAAGUACUUUGGGAAAGUACGGCAUAGAAGGUAAUACCCCUGUAGACGUAAUGUGAUCACUGUGCAGUGUAACCCCAAGUAGCACCCAACCCCUGAAAUUGGGUGUGAAUCUGGCGGGACCACCCGUUAAGCCUAAAUACUCCUUGGUGACCGAUAGCGGACUAGUACCGUGAGGGAAAGGUGAAAAGUACCCCGGGAGGGGAGUGAAAUAGUACCUGAAACCGAUUGCCUACAAUCCGUCGGAGCGAUGAUCACUUGUGAUUGUUGUGACGGCGUGCCUUUUGAAGAAUGAGCCUGCGAGUUAGUGGUGCGUGGCGAGGUUAACCCGUGUGGGGAAGCCGUAGCGAAAGCGAGUCCGAAUAGGGCGAUUGAGUCGCGUGCUCUAGACCCGAAGCGGAGUGAUCUAUCCAUGGCCAGGGUGAAGCGACGGUAAGACGUCGUGGAGGCCCGAACCCACCAGGGUUAAAAACCUGGGGGAUGAGCUGUGGAUAGGGGUGAAAGGCCAAUCAAACUCCGUGAUAGCUGGUUCUCCCCGAAAUGCAUAUAGGUGCAGCGUCGCGUGUUUCUUGCCGGAGGUAGAGCACUGGAUAGUCUAGGGGGCCCACAAGCUUACCGAAAUUAGCCAAACUCCGAAUGCCGGUAAGUUUAAGCGCGGCAGUGAGACUGCGGGCGAUAAGGUUCGUAGUCGAGAGGGAAACAGCCCAGAACACCAGCUAAGGCCCCUAAGCGAUUGCUAAGUGGAAAAGGAUGUGGAGUUGCGGAGACAACCAGGAGGUUGGCUUGGAAGCAGCCACCCUUGAAAGAGUGCGUAAUAGCUCACUGGUCAAGUGAUUCUGCGCCGACAAUUUAGCGGGGCUCAAGCAAUCCGCCGAAGCUGUGUCAUUCACAUAUUAACCCGACUCCAUCUUUAUGGUGUGGUCCAGGUGUGUGGAUGGGUAGGGGAGCGUCGUGUGCGCGAGGAAGCGGCGGGGGGACCCAGCCGUGG